GCCUGUUGAUGGAGUCAAAGUCGCCAACCACCACUGCCAAGGACAACUCCCUCUCCCAUCUUCACCAGCGCCAACUGCUCCAACCUCUACUCCAGCCCUACCAUCACACUAUUCACUAAAUCAGAGUCCAGAUCACUACUUCAGCUUGCACCUACCGUCAACCUCACACCCAAAACCCCAGUCAACCCGAACAUCAUCAUAACCAAAUCCACUACCAGCAACCUCAGUAAAAAAAAAAACACACCAGAUCGCAAGUAAAAAGGAGGAGGGAGAGCAAAUAC
Molecule: long non-coding RNA, 281 nt
Filed under: Gossypium raimondii (Peruvian cotton)
Lineage: Eukaryota; Viridiplantae; Streptophyta; Magnoliopsida; Malvales; Malvaceae
Description: long non-coding RNA (GRAI_LNC010544)
Source: RNAcentral